Non-coding RNA from Xyrichtys novacula (pearly razorfish), 1384 nucleotides. The record is from the annotation of a GenBank genome assembly. NCBI's taxonomy places the organism in Eukaryota, Metazoa, Chordata, Actinopteri, Labriformes, Labridae.
AAAGAAGUCACCUACAACCAGCCCAAAUGACUACCGCCCUGUUGCCCUCACACCUAUAAUCAUGAAGUGCUUUGAGAGGCUGGUUCUCAAGCACAUCAAGGACUGUCUCCCCCGACACUAGACCCCCACCAGUUUGCUUACCGGGCUAACAGAUCGACAGAGGACGCCAUUGCCAUAGCUCUGCACGCUGUGCUGAAACACCUGGAACAACAGCAGAGCUAUGCCAGGAUGCUCUUUGUGGAUUAUAGUUCGGCAUUCAACACCAUCAUUCCGGACAUCCUCAUCACCAAACUGGUCACCCUGGGCCUUCCCCCUCCCACCUGCUCCUGGAUUAAGGACUUUCUGACCAACAGACCCCAGAUGGUGAGACUUGGCCCCCACCUCUCCCCCACCCACACACUGAGCACUGGGUCACCCCAGGGCUGCGUGCUGAGCCCCCUCCUGUACUGCCUCUACACCUCCGACUGCAGCCCAAGCCACAAAAAAAAAACCUCAUCAUCAAAUUCGCAGAUGACACCACCAUGGUCGGACUGAUUUCAAGAGGAGACGAGUCAGCUUACAGAGAGGAGGUGCAGAGACUCUCGACCUGGUGCUCAGACAACAACCUGACACUGAACACUGCCAAAACAAAGGAGAUCAUCAUGGAUUUCAGGAGGAACAGAACUGAGCCGCCCCCCCUCUCCAUCAACGGCAAGUAUGUGGAGAGAGUCCACACAUUUAGGUUCCUGGGAGUCCAGAUCCCAGAUGACCUCUCCUGGACAAACAACAUCACGGCUGUCAUCAAGAAGGCUCAGCAGCGUCUACACCACCUGAGAGUCCUUAGGAGGAACAACUUGGACAGUAAGCUGCUGCUGGCCUUCAACCGCUCAGCCAUCGAGAGCCUGCUGACCUACUGCAUCUCCACCUGGUACGAGAGCUGCACUGAGGCUGACAGAACGAGGCUUAAGAGAACAGUCAGAGUAGCACAGAAGAUUGUUGGCUGUCCUCUCCCGUCCAUGAUGGACAUCUACACCUCCCAGUGUCUCAGCAGAGCCCGUAACAUCACUGCAGACACUUCACAUCCUGGUUCUCAGCUGUUUGAGCUGUUGCCUUCUGGCUGGCGCUACAGAUGUCUCAGAGCAAGAACAAAUAGACUAAGAAAUUGCUUUUUCCCCAUAGCCAUCACCACCCUGAACUCCGGCAUGUAACACUGUUGUAUUUACAUAUACGUAUAUAUAUAGCCAUACCUACUGUGCAAUAAGUUUUUUACCACUGCUCCACUGUGUGGAAUCCAUCACACUCUGUUCGAUCUAUUUAAUAUCCAGUAUUAACAUGCCAACACUACUGUAUUUAUCUUUACAUAUAUGCAUAUAUAGCCAUACUUAUUGUGCAAUAUGUUUUUUAC